GAAUGAAUCUCGCUGUGUUGUCCAGGCUGGAGUGCAGUGGCACCAUCUCGGCUCACUGCAACCUCUGGCUCCCAGGUUCAAGCGAUUCUCCUGCCUCAGCCCCCUGAGUAGCUGGGAUUACAGGCACGCGCCACCACUCCCAGUUUACACCCCGCCACUCCUGAGCACCGCACACCGGCUUCCUCCCAGUCCCUCAUCUGAGAACUCAUGAAGCCACUUGGAAUCCCUCUCUGCUUUGCCUGGCUCAUUCCAUGUCAAUUUCAGAUCUUCACUUCAGGUCAGCUCCAAGGAGGCUAUCCUUGCCCAUCUUCCUAAAAUAGAGCUCUCAAAACCUGGCUGUUUUCCUUCAGAGCACUGGCCUCCAAUUUAAAUCCCAAGUAAGGUACCUGCCGUCGGCAGAUUUGAGCUUUCUUCUUGGACACCUAAUACCCAGAGUCCUCCAGGCUCCGGUAGAUUGCAAAUGACCUGCUUUCUUUCUGUUCCCGGGCGGCAUCGGACCCGUCGGAGAGUAAAUCCCAAGUAAGGUACCUGCCGUUGGCAGAUUUGAGCUUUCUUCUUGGACACCUAAUACCCACAGUCCUCCAGGCUCCGGUAGAUUGCAAAUGACCUGCUUUCUUUCUGUUCCCGGGUGGCAUCGACCCGUCGGAGAGUAAAUCCCAAGUAAG
This is a long non-coding RNA of Homo sapiens (human), 665 nucleotides long. Ensembl annotates it as TPT1 antisense RNA 1. Its record names the gene TPT1-AS1. The record is from Ensembl. Lineage: Eukaryota; Metazoa; Chordata; Mammalia; Primates; Hominidae.